Molecule: small nucleolar RNA, 128 nt
Organism: Heterocephalus glaber (naked mole-rat)
Lineage: Eukaryota; Metazoa; Chordata; Mammalia; Rodentia; Bathyergidae
Source: Ensembl
GAGGUCUGCUCAGGGCCAGGGGCCUGAAGAAUGCCUCCUCUGUCUGCAACACACUCCGUAGGAACCUAGGGGCACGGUGAGGAGGGGCACAAAAGGUGUGACUUUUCUAUGAAUAAAUCCCUACCUCC